This 502-nucleotide unclassified non-coding RNA is filed under the name Hevea brasiliensis (rubber tree). Lineage: Eukaryota; Viridiplantae; Streptophyta; Magnoliopsida; Malpighiales; Euphorbiaceae. The record is from RNAcentral.
GGCCACGGGGCGGGCGUUGGGGAGAGCGAUUCCCACCCUGCCUCGUUGCCAUUUCUUAUUGAUGUCAGAUGGUCUUUUAUUUUUUUGCUAUGGUCUGCUGUCUGCCCGAGGCCCAAGUGAUGACUGAAUAUGAGGAAUCUGAGAUCAUUGAUGUGCAGAACAUUUUAUCAGUGCACCUUUAAAGGAAAAACAAAAAAAAGCCCAAGCAAAAGCUGGACCAAAUAAUUCUUUCUAGAACAGAAAGUGAUAUUCUUUCUGGUUAGAUUUAGUUAACUUUGCCCAGUUAAAAAUUGUUAUUUAUUCACUGAUGAAUGGCAUAUAGCUUUUCUGGUAAUGCAGUUUGUUCAAAUUGGUAAAGUUGCGCAAAAAUAUCAUUUAACUUGGGUAUCCUUGAGCAUUUGCAUCUUUUAUGUUAUCCCUGGCAUUGAUACUGAUGAGCUCUUUCACUAUUAUAUUUAUUAACUUGUAGUUAUUAGUUUCAUUCUAUUAUUAUUAUUAUUAU